RNAcentral lists this long non-coding RNA (851 nucleotides) under Durio zibethinus. Its description in RNAcentral is "long non-coding RNA (DZIB_LNC000549)". The record is from RNAcentral. Lineage: Eukaryota; Viridiplantae; Streptophyta; Magnoliopsida; Malvales; Malvaceae.
CUGCUGAUUUCCCAAGAGUCUUCUGAGAAUCAUUUUUAGUAGAUGCAGACUGAUGUUUCAGUAGCAGAGUUUCACCAUGCAGCAAAUCAUCUGGAUCAGGUUCAAACUUGUUAUGAUUGCUAGAAAGGUCAUCAGGAUAUGGUUCAUAAGCAAGUUUCCUCAAAGACCUAAUUGGACUUUGAAUAUCUAGAUUUUCAUUUCCAUUGUGAAUAGUCAAACCAGAGUCUUGGAUUCUCUGUAAUUCUUGAUCAUCCGGAUCGGGCUCAUCAAUUUUCAUAUCAUAUAUUCCCAGCUGUGGCAAUAACUUAUCAUCUCGAUGAGGAUCUGCUUGUGCUAUUUCAUCUGCUUUAGUUUCAUCAGGAUCAGGUUCUUUAUGGCCUUGAUUGAAAUGGGCUUGAUCUACCAAGGUUUCAGUUGUUAUGUGAUGACGAGGAUCAUGUCUUGCCAAGCUUGUGCAUCCCAAAAUGUUCGAUUGUGCUUCUCCAUCAUCAGGAUCUGGUUCAUCUAUGGUCUCUCUUGUCAGAAUCUUGGUGUCCAGAAUCUCCAUCACCAUAGGUUCAACUACAUUUCCAAAACUUGAAGCACCUGAAUCAUCAGGAUCGGGCUCUUCACUUGAACACAUGGCUGCUGAUUUCCCAAGAGUCUUCUGAGAAAUGUUUUUAGUAGAUUCAGAAUGAUGUUUCAGUAGCAGAGUUUCACCGGGCAGCGUGUCAUCUGGAUCAGGUUCAAACUUGUUCUGAUUGCUAGAAAGAUCAUCAGGAUCUGGUUCAUAAGCAAGUUUCCCCAGAGCCCUAAUUGGACUUUGAAUAUCUAGAUUUUCAUUUCCAUCGUGAAUAGUCAACCCAGAAUCA